RNAcentral lists this ribosomal RNA (264 nucleotides) under uncultured bacterium. RNAcentral describes it as "partial 16S ribosomal RNA". It matches the Rfam family "Bacterial small subunit ribosomal RNA", at positions 334 to 590 of the family's 1533-position model. The record is from RNAcentral.
UAUCCCUACGGGGGGCAGCAGUAGAGAAUCUUCCACAAUGGACGAAAGUCUGAUGGAGCAACGCCGCGUGAGUGAAGAAGGGUUUCGGCUCGUAAAGCUCUGUUGGUAGUGAAGAAAGAUAGAGGUAGUAACUGGCCUUUAUUUGACGGUAAUUACUUAGAAAGUCACGGCUAACUACGUGCCAGCAGCCGCGGUAAUACGUAGGUGGCAAGCGUUUUCCGGAUUUUUUGGGCGUAAAGCGAGUGCAGGCGGGUCAAUAAAACU